Molecule: long non-coding RNA, 668 nt
Filed under: Linum usitatissimum (flax)
Lineage: Eukaryota; Viridiplantae; Streptophyta; Magnoliopsida; Malpighiales; Linaceae
Description: long non-coding RNA (LUSI_LNC007622)
Source: RNAcentral
AGAAUUUGUUUUUUUUUCAUUUUUUUGUUAAGAUAAAUCUUUUGGGAUAUUUAACCAAUUGACUAUCUGUACCUCACCCUCUGACCCAAUUUUGAACAAUCUUAUCUUCUCCUUUCUUAAAAUAUCGUUGUUUAUGAGACAUCAGCUUUCUUUCCAUUGUAGCUUCCUUUCCAUUGCAGUCUGGGAUUAAUAAUUCAUUGUAAAAGCAAACAAGUAUGUUUUCCCAACUUGUUGUUUUCACCUCUUUUGUAUUGGGUUUGUUUUUAUGUUGAUUUUGUUUAGUGCUAGGUUUUGUAGCUUCGUCCCUCCAUUUAUCUCUAGUUUUUUGCUCUCUGUUGUUGACGUCUUAAUUGUUUUCCAGGAGCCCGUCGUUGUUGUUGCUUGUGGUGAAUGAUGUUACUUCUGUGUGGAAACUGGGUUGCUAAUAACUUUGUAAACUAGGUCAGCAAAAACCUCAAGACGGUUCAACUUCAUAACGUAUUUUGUCGGAUUGAGAUCUUCCCCAUGUAAGUCGACCUCAAUACAGUAUAGACAACGAUUUUCCCAUAAUUGUACACCACCAAUUUGGACUCCUUUCCAACCAUAUUUGUAUUUGGUUAAUGUUUCCAUGAUUUCAAUUCUUUACAGCUACCUGGCAGAUUGUUAAAUUUGCAUUCGUGCUGUUGUUG